This 78-nucleotide small nucleolar RNA is filed under the name Trametes versicolor FP-101664 SS1. Its description in RNAcentral is "Small nucleolar RNA snR60/Z15/Z230/Z193/J17". It matches the Rfam family "Small nucleolar RNA snR60/Z15/Z230/Z193/J17". Rfam says of the family: The members of this family belong to the C/D class of snoRNAs which contain the C (UGAUGA) and D (CUGA) box motifs. The record is from Rfam by way of RNAcentral. Lineage: Eukaryota; Fungi; Basidiomycota; Agaricomycetes; Polyporales; Polyporaceae.
AUCGUGAUGACAUUGUAUCAUAGUUCACACUGAAACUAUUGUGUUGAUAAACAAGCAUCGUCUUUCGCUCCUAUCUGA